AGAUUAAUGCUAAAGAUGUGAACAGAUUUCAAGUGGCAUAUGCCAGUCUUUUGAAGGGCAACAUGGAUGGCUUGAAGAAAAAAGACAAGAAGAAAACUUCAAUUAAAUCAAAAGCCACGCAAUAAAUAUGCUUAAAUCUUUUAUCUUACAUUACUUUUAUUUUCUGUUUCAUAAAAAUAGCUUCAGAAGUUGUUAAUGAUUCGAUAGACAAUUAUCUCUGUUUAGGCACUAUUUGUAAAAGAAAACAAACAGGACAUUUUGACAAUAUCAUUCUCUGUAACUUUGAAAAAAGAAAACAUUAAUGUUUCUUCCUGAUUAUGUUGUAAAUAUUUUCAAAUAAAAGAUAAUAAAAAUGUUCUCUAAUUUUUAUCUCAGUAUCUCUGGGUAAAACUUUUAAGUUUUCUUAUAAUAUACAAGAAAUUUACAAGUAUUUACAGAAUGUCAGAACUCCUUACAGAACACAUUUUUGGUAUAUGCAAUACAUUUUCCAUUCAUCAUUUGAACUUUUUAUUCGGAAAUUGUGAUGUGAAAAUUAAAAAGUUGUAUACAU
Molecule: long non-coding RNA, 550 nt
Organism: Limulus polyphemus (Atlantic horseshoe crab)
Lineage: Eukaryota; Metazoa; Arthropoda; Merostomata; Xiphosura; Limulidae
Exons: 2
Source: RefSeq, a predicted model, not a curated record